RNAcentral lists this ribosomal RNA (879 nucleotides) under uncultured Mycoplasma sp. RNAcentral's name for it is "bacterial SSU rRNA". It matches the Rfam family "Bacterial small subunit ribosomal RNA", at positions 507 to 1398 of the family's 1533-position model. The record is from RNAcentral. Lineage: Bacteria; Bacillati; Mycoplasmatota; Mollicutes; Mycoplasmatales; Mycoplasmataceae.
GCCAGCAGCCGCGGUAAUACAUAGGUCACAAGNGNUAUCCGGAAUUAUUGGGCGUAAAGCGUUCGUAGGCGGUUUGUUAAGUCUGGAGUUAAAGACUGGGGCUCAACCCCAGCCCGCUCUGGAUACUGGCUGACUAGAGUUACAUAGAGGUAAGUGGAAUUCUUAGUGGAGCGGUGGAAUGCGUAGAUAUUAGGAAGAACACCAAUGGCGAAGGCAGCUUACUGGAUGUACACUGACGCUCAGGGACGAAAGCGUGGGGAGCAAACAGGAUUAGAUACCCUGGUAGUCCACGCCGUAAACGAUGAUCAUUAGCCGCUAGAAUAUUUAGUGGCGCAGCUAACGCAUUAAAUGAUCCGCCUGAGUAGUAUGCUCGCAAGAGUGAAACUUAAAGGAAUUGACGGGGACCCGCACAAGCGGUGGAGCAUGUGGUUUAAUUUGAAGAUACGCGUAGAACCUUACCCACUCUUGACAUCUUCCGCAAUACUAUGGAGACAUAGUGGAGGUUAACGGAAUGACAGAUGGUGCAUGGUUGUCGUCAGCUCGUGCCGUGAGGUGUUAGGUUAAGUCCUGCAACGAGCGCAACCCCUGUCUUUAGUUACUAACGGAUAAUGCCGAGGACUCUAGAGAGACUGACUGGGUAACCAGUAGGAAGGUGGGGACGACGUCAAAUCAUCAUGCCUCUUACGAGUGGGGCAACACACGUGCUACAAUGGACGGUACAAAGAGAAGCAAUAUGGUGACAUGGAGCAAACCUCAAAAAACCGUUCUCAGUUCGGAUUGAAGUCUGAAACUCGACUUCAUGAAGUUGGAAUCGCUAGUAAUCGUAGAUCAGCUACGCUACGGUGAAUACGUUCUCGGGUCUUGUACACACCGCCCGUC